RNAcentral lists this ribosomal RNA (262 nucleotides) under uncultured bacterium. RNAcentral's name for it is "partial 16S ribosomal RNA". It matches the Rfam family "Bacterial small subunit ribosomal RNA", at positions 92 to 354 of the family's 1533-position model. The record is from RNAcentral.
CGACCGGCGCACGGGUGAGUAACACGUAUGGAACCUGCCCGCAGCAGGGGGAUAAGCGGAAGAAAUUCCGUCUAAUACCGCGUAACACCGCAGAGGGGCAUCCCUCGGCGGUUAAAGAUUCAUCGGCUGCGGAUGGCCAUGCGGCGCAUUAGCUAGUUGGCGGGGUAACGGCCCACCAAGGCGACGAUGCGUAGGGGUUCUGAGAGGAAGGUCCCCCACACUGGUACUGAGACACGGACCAGACUCCUACGGAAGGCAGCAG